UACGUAGGGUGCAAGCGUUAAUCGGAAUUACUGGGCGUAAAGCGUGCGCAGGCGGCUUUGCAAGACAGAUGUGAAAUCCCCGGGCUUAACCUGGGAACUGCAUUUGUGACUGCAUGGCUUGAGUGCGGUAGAGGGGGAUGGAAUUCCGCGUGUAGCAGUGAAAUGCGUAGAUAUGCGGAGGAACACCGAUGGCGAAGGCAGUCCCCUGGACCUGUACUGACGCUCAUGCACGAAAGCGUGGGGAGCAAACAGG
Molecule: ribosomal RNA, 253 nt
Filed under: uncultured bacterium
Lineage: Bacteria
Description: partial 16S ribosomal RNA
Rfam family: Bacterial small subunit ribosomal RNA
Source: RNAcentral